GUAGAACGUUCGGUUGGCGUCUGAGUCGCAUCUGUGUUGCAUCUGUGAAGUGAGAGAUGCUACCUCCAUUAUUAUAUCUGCUUUGGAACAAUUGCUACACAGAUUGCAAGAACAUCCAUAUCCUUGGAUUUUGUGCCCUUCCAGUGAAAGCCAGUGUUUGAGAAGGUUCAGUUAUGGAUCUUAUGGUUGCUCACACUCAAGAAGACAUCAACCAGGUAGCGACCAUUGAUUGCCUACUACCGUUGGCCUUCCUCUUCCUUUGGUGAGUCUGAGGCAACAACCUCAGACAUUCACACUUUGUAGAGCUUUUGUUAUUCCAAAUUCACUAGAAACAAGCACAGGAAAACCAGCUGAGAUUGCUUCAAGAGCAACCAGGCCAAAUCCCUCUGUGCAGGUUGGCAUCACAAUCAAGUCAGCUUCACUAAACAUAUUCAUUUCGUUACAAUGUUAAAAUACAAAUUCCAGAAACGGUUUUAAAGGUCAAUAUGUGCAAAUCACAUUGCGAUGGAAACCUAAAGGUGUGGAUUAACCCUUGGCAUACUACGGGGGAGUGGGGUUAAUUUGAGAGAAUACAAGCACUAUGCGUUACAAUGCUUGCUAAACAAGUACAUUACAUGGAAACCUCACAAAACCAUAUAUGUUCACAAAGAGUAUUAAAUUCUUGUUCAUAUCAAUUAAAAAUAUUCUGGGAUAUAUGA
Non-coding RNA from Pocillopora verrucosa, 698 nucleotides. NCBI's taxonomy places the organism in Eukaryota, Metazoa, Cnidaria, Anthozoa, Scleractinia, Pocilloporidae. The record is from RefSeq and is a predicted model, not a curated record.